GGUAGCUUGCUACCUGACCUAGCGGCGGACGGGCCCAUUAAAGGUUAGGAAUCUGCCUAUUAGUGGGGGACAACAUUCCGAAAGGAAUGCUAAUACCGCAUACGUCCUACGGGAGAAAGCAGGGGAUCUUCGGACCUUGCGCUAAUAGAUGAGCCUAAGUCAGAUUAGCUAGUUGGUGGGGUAAAGGCCUACCAAGGCGACGAUCUGUAGCGGGUCUGAGAGGAUGAUCCGCCACACUGGGACUGAGACACGGCCCAGACUCCUACGGGAGGCAGCAGUGGGGAAUAUUGGACAAUGGGCGAAAGCCUGAUCCAGCCAUGCCGCGUGUGUGAAGAAGGCCUUUUGGUUGUAAAGCACUUUAAGCGAGGAGGAGGCUACUUGGAUUAAUACUCUAGGAUAGUGGACGUUACUCGCAGAAUAAGCACCGGCUAACUCUGUGCCAGCAGCCGCGGUAAUACAGAGGGUGCGAGCGUUAAUCGGAUUUACUGGGCGUAAAGCGUGCGUAGGCGGCUUUUUAAGUCGGAUGUGAAAUCCCUGAGCUUAACUUAGGAAUUGCAUUCGAUACUGGGAAGCUAGAGUAUGGGAGAGGAUGGUAGAAUUCCAGGUGUAGCG
RNAcentral lists this ribosomal RNA (612 nucleotides) under Acinetobacter sp. 845F7. Its description in RNAcentral is "bacterial SSU rRNA". It matches the Rfam family "Bacterial small subunit ribosomal RNA", at positions 74 to 680 of the family's 1533-position model. Lineage: Bacteria; Pseudomonadati; Pseudomonadota; Gammaproteobacteria; Moraxellales; Moraxellaceae. The record is from RNAcentral.